Molecule: ribosomal RNA, 402 nt
Filed under: uncultured bacterium
Lineage: Bacteria
Description: bacterial SSU rRNA
Rfam family: Bacterial small subunit ribosomal RNA
Source: RNAcentral
UGGGGAAUUUUGGACAAUGGGGGCAACCCUGAUCCAGCCAUGCCGCGUGAGUGAAGAAGGCCUUCGGGUUGUAAAGCUCUUUCGGCCGGGAAGAAAUCGCGCCAGCUAAUACCUGGUGUGGAUGACGGUACCGGAAGAAGAAGCACCGGCUAACUACGUGCCAGCAGCCGCGGUAAUACGUAGGGUGCGAGCGUUAAUCGGAAUUACUGGGCGUAAAGCGUGCGCAGGCGGCUCUAUAAGACAGAUGUGAAAUCCCCGGGCUUAACCUGGGAACUGCGUUUGUGACUGUAGGGCUUGAGUGCGGCAGAGGGGGUGGAAUUCCACGUGUAGCAGUGAAAUGCGUAGAGAUGUGGAGGAACACCGAUGGCGAAGGCAGCCCCCUGGGUCGACACUGACGCUCAU